This 336-nucleotide unclassified non-coding RNA is filed under the name soil metagenome. Its description in RNAcentral is "partial contains 5.8S ribosomal RNA, internal transcribed spacer 2, and large subunit ribosomal RNA". The stretch from base 1 to 120 matches the Rfam family "5.8S ribosomal RNA", at positions 35 to 154 of the family's 154-position model. The record is from RNAcentral.
GAUGAAGAACGCAGCGAAAUGCGAUAAGUAAUGUGAAUUGCAGAAUUCAGUGAAUCAUCGAAUCUUUGAACGCACAUUGCGCCCGCCAGUAUUCUGGCGGGCAUGCCUGUUCGAGCGUCAUUUCAACCAUCAAGCCCCAGGCUUGUGUUGGGGACCUGCAGCUGCCGCAGGCCCUGAAAACCAGUGGCGGGCUCGCUGUCACACCGGGCGUAGUAGAUUUUAUCUCGCUCAGGGCGUGCUGCGGGUUCCGGCCGUUAAAAAGCCUUUUUUACCCAAGGUUGACCUCGGAUCAGGUAGGAAGACCCGCUGAACUUAAGCAUAUCAAUAAGCGGAGGA